Molecule: unclassified non-coding RNA, 2540 nt
Filed under: Hevea brasiliensis (rubber tree)
Lineage: Eukaryota; Viridiplantae; Streptophyta; Magnoliopsida; Malpighiales; Euphorbiaceae
Source: RNAcentral
AAAAAAAAAAAAAAAAACUGCAAUUCCAAAAACUCAAGCAAUUGACUUUCAGGUAGAUGCAUAGAGCAAUCUUAGAAAUGGAAGGUUUUUAUCUAAUUACAAGAUAUAUCUCAAUUACAACACAGGCAAAUCUCAAGGAAGGUACAAAUAGAUGGUUAGCUUUCUAGUGUAAGGUUUCAUAGAAACUGGUUUGCCUUUCCUCUUCUGAUAUCUUUCUGGCUCAAGCAAAAUCUUAAAACAACCAAAAGUUCUACCACAAGCUUGAAAUAUAAUCUCUUCACAUAACCAAUAAGCAAAGGUGGACAUGCCAACCUUUUGUUUUGUUUCAUAGUUUGAGUCAAUCAAGGAGACUGAGUUGAUUGUCCAUCAUCUACAUCGCUGCUUUCCAGUAUUCAAGGGAGAAUUUCUGAUGCUUUUAGAUGAGGCAUUUGUGUGCUGUUGAGUUCCUUCGGAUUUCUUCUUGCGCCUUGCUUGUUGAGACAAACGAGAAUGGUAAGAUAAGAUGGCAAGAUCAUUUAGAUCUUGCAAUGGAGUAAGAACCUUCACAACUUCAUCCAUUGUAGGGCGGGACUUAGGGUCCCUACUCAGGCAGUUGUAAGCUAAUUGAGAAACUUUCUGGACCCCUUUAAGGGAGAAAUUCAGCUCCAAUCGGGGAUCCACGAGCUGGUACAGCUUUCGCUUGUCAGCUAAAUAAGGCCGAGCCCAUGCAACAAGAUUCUGUUCACCAGUAGGGCGCUUCUUGUCCAUUGAUCUUCUGCCCGUCAAAAUCUCAAGCAACACGACUCCGAAGCUGUAAACAUCACUCUUAGAUGUCAAGUGUCCUGUCAUCACAUAUUCUGGAGCAGCAUAGCCGUAUGUUCCAACCACCCUGGUAGAAACAUGAGUUUUGUCACCUUGAGGCCCAGCUUUUGCUAGACCAAAGUCUGAAAGCUUUGCAUUAUAUUCCGAAUCAAGUAAGAUGUUUGAUGUCUUAAAAUCCCUGUAAAUUACUGGUUUUGGACCACCAUGAAGAAACGCCAAUCCUUUUGCUGCUCCAAGUGCAAUCUUAAUCCUGCUGCACCAUGGAAGAGGUAUUGUCCCUUCAAAAGUUAAGACAACAUCAGUAUUUCGUCAAUACAUUAUACAUCUUAAAAUUGUACAAACAGGAAAAUUAAAAAUCUGAUGAAAGGAAAGUUAAUGGAAGUGUUCCAAAGGGUUGAUUAUUCAGCUUGAAGAAAAAAUAUAAAAAAAUGUAAAAAGGAAAAAGGGACAGCUUUUUCCACAUUUUGAACUUCAUCCAUUCUGAUUAGGUAUGUCAAAAAAUCUCCUCAAUAAAAAAUUACAGUCCACCUGAGCAAAAAUUUGCAGAAAUAGCAUUCCUUCAUCAAUAAAGUACAUAAAUGAUGUAUAAUCUUGGAACAAACCAAUAGGGUGCUUAGUCUAAAUUUAUGGAAAUGGAAAUUUUUGUGGGAUAAGCAACAAGAUCUGUUCACACCGUGGCAUUGUUUGGCCAGAAUAAUUGGGAAAGAAAGUGGAAAAAAGAGGGAAAAGUGAACUUCAGAGAAAGAUCAAAUGGUAAAAAAAUGAGAAUGUCUACUGACUACUACUGACCAUAUUGAUGAAGGAUCCUGAAAUAGAGAACACAUUUUAAGUGAUAUAGACUAGUAAAAAUAACACAGCAAAGGCAACUGAAUCUCUACAACUCACUUCUAAAAAGAUGAUUUUCGAGACUUCCCCGUGUCAUAAAUUCAUAAACAAGCAGCCGCUGAUCAUCCUCAAUGCAGUAUCCAAUAAGCUUAACAAGAUUAGGAUGGUGAAGCUGUCCAAGAAAAUCUACUUCAGCCACCCAUUCUCUAUGGCCUUGAAGACCAUCUGGCUUUAAACUCUUCACCGCAACAGUGAUUCCUGACCCUGGUUUUGCUGGUGCGGUCCCAUUCUCCUCUAUCCAUCCUUUGAAGACAUAUCCAAAUCCACCCUCUCCAAGAAUGCUAUCAGGCCUAAAAUUACCGGUUGCUGAUUUUAGUUCUUGAAAGGUGAAUUGGAGUAACUGGCAUGGAGAUUUGUUAUCAGUUGGUGGUGUAUCAGGAUUAUCAGAAGAUAAUUGUGCUUCAUUUGGAGGGCAUAACUCUCGAUUGCUAGCAUUUAGGUAUCGUGUCUCAGUAGCUGCAUCAUAAACCAGACUAGUGCGAGGGAUAGUCUUAGCAGAGUCUCUAGAGGCAGAGGGUUUACAGGAACCUAUAACACUCCGUUUUAGAAGAGCCCAACACCCACACUUGUUCUCCAUAGGAACUUUCUUUUUGGGUUGUGGCUCUAUCCGUCUAACAUGGGUUGUCACUAUAAUUGCACGGGAUGUGAUAGGGCGGUGAGCAGAGAUUGGUCAUGGUUAUGAGUAAAGAAGGAAAAAAAGAAAAGAAAAAAAUAGGCAUAACAAGACAAACCUACAGCUACAAAAGCUAAACCAAUUUGGCAUAAUCCCAGAGCAAAAGUCAAGAACCAGUGCUGGACUGCUGGCCACUGACCACCUAAGCCUUUUCUUUGCAAAAGCGCCUUUGUAAUCCAUG